UCUUUAAUGUAUAUACAAUGUCCUGUGACGUGGUUACUUGCGAUAUCGUAUAAAUAGAGACAUACUGAUCUAGUUACACACUUCAUCAUCCAUCCAACGAAGCUGAUAUACAUAAUCACCAUGAAGUACUCUGCGGCUAUUUUCACCGCUGUCAUCUCCGCUACCAUUCUCAUCAGCUGUGCUGACGUUCUGCACACCCAACAGGAACAAAGUGCUUCUUGCCCGAGUGGUUACACAGCAAAGAGAUUAAACAAUGCAUGUCAAUGUGUCCAAGUAUCAUCAACUAGGCCAAGUUGCAUUACAAAUUACAACCUGGUGGUUAAUAUCAAUGGAGAGUGCAAGUGCAGGUGCAGGACAACUAAUUCUUGUCCCAGUGGCAAUGAAUGGGACUCUAGCCUUUGUGCCUGUGUACCUAUAAAAGACGAAUGCACACGAUUAUGUCCCGUUCCUAAGAUCUUGGACAGUACGGGAUGUGCGUGUAUCUGCUGAAACUCAUGUCCUGGAGGUAUUCCCCAAAAUCUUCGCACAUGUGAAUGCGGCCCCAUUGGCCAAUGAUCAUGCAGCUCGUAUCAUCCAUACUGUAUAUGAGUGAACUUGAUCUAAUGAAUACUUAAUGUUACGAAAAGAAAAAAAACUUUAGCCUUGCUACUAGUAUUUCUAAUGUUGUACUGGUUCUCAUUAGUAUGACCUUAUUGAUUUAUAUUGCUGCAAGUGGUUGCUUUAAUUAUGCACCUGUCUAUGGUACAUACAAGUAUGAU
This is a long non-coding RNA of Halichondria panicea, 758 nucleotides long. RefSeq lists it as uncharacterized. The transcript is spliced from 3 exons. Lineage: Eukaryota; Metazoa; Porifera; Demospongiae; Suberitida; Halichondriidae. The record is from RefSeq and is a predicted model, not a curated record.